RNAcentral lists this ribosomal RNA (409 nucleotides) under Stylissa carteri. RNAcentral describes it as "partial 28S large subunit ribosomal RNA". The record is from RNAcentral. Lineage: Eukaryota; Metazoa; Porifera; Demospongiae; Axinellida; Axinellidae.
ACGAAUGCAGCCAAAGUGGCUCUCAUUCAGGCUCAGGAGUUGUCGGUGCGCAGUGCCAGGCUGUUGGACACCGAAGGGUGCGGCAGUCAGGAUACAGCNUGCCGAGCACUCUGCWUUCCUGAUGAGAGUCGGCCAACAGCAGUUACCCCUGACUCGAAAGGGCUGUCGGGAAGGUAGCUUCUUGGUUUACCAGGAAGAACUUAUAGCCAUCGGCCUGGCAGUUGGGGGUGACUGAGGAGUGCUGUGACUUUUCACACCAGCAGUGCAGGCUCCCUAGGGGCCGGGUCGCUUCUGUCCGUGUGGGCAAUGCUUCCGGGACUGCAUGCAGUGUCGGAAGACAUGUGUGUGCUCGGGUGGGAGGUUGGCCACGCCUUGCACUGAAGUUGUUGGUACCUGGAUGGUUUCAUUC